This is a long non-coding RNA of Vitis riparia (riverbank grape), 1020 nucleotides long. RefSeq lists it as uncharacterized. Lineage: Eukaryota; Viridiplantae; Streptophyta; Magnoliopsida; Vitales; Vitaceae. The record is from RefSeq and is a predicted model, not a curated record. The transcript has 2 exons.
AGACUACUGAUGCCGUGAUCUCUGAAAUAGAUACCAACAAGGAUUGAAUAAGACUGGAGACUGGACUUGUGUCUUCGUUGGUCUGCACAGACGGAGCAAAGAUUAUUCUCACUUUUUAGUUACUUAUAUGAUUUUGAAUUAAGGUAAAAGGAAGAUAUCAUGGUUAAAGGAGAAUCUAAUAGUUACGCUAAAACCAGCCUACUAAACAUGAUUGUACUACUAUUUGAUACAUUUUCCUCGGUUAUUUUCUAUUGAUUCUAGAUUCUUUCCAUGGAAUAUUCCUUGUAGUGUAAAGAUUGCAGGCUAAGUUUACAAAAUAAGAAGGAAAAGCGGAGAAGCAAGACCAGGAAAUACUGUAACUAAAAUAGUUGAUUUUGUUCAAAUUUUGCUAUAUUUUCCUUUCUCCUCUAAAAGUUUCUGUCUGUCUUCCUUUCAGAGAGGGAGGAGGAAACUUGCUGUGCCCCCACGAAGAUGAAUCGAUCUGGCAGGUUAUUCACUAGAUCAUGAAGUUAUGUGACAAGCAGGAUGAAGCAUGAGUAGAAAACAACAAAGGAGAAAAGAAGGAGGAGUUGAUGAUAUUGAUACCCAGGUCCAAUCGGAGCUACUGCUUGAAAUGACCAUCAUGGCUUCAGAGCCUGGCCUCAUAAACUCCAGAAUGGCUACCUCCCUUCUGACAAACACAUCUUAAAGGAUGAGGAUUGGCAGUGGACUACGACUCACUCAUGCUUUCCCUCGUAUAAUUUCUAAUCCCAUUGAAACUGAUGGAAGGCUUUAAUUCCUGGAAAGCUUCUGACCUUAUUCUCUUCCUCUCUCUGUUUCUCAUGUAUUUCUGUUUAGUUACUUUGUAAUUUACAUUUGUGAGGCUUUCAGUCUGAGACAGGUAACUUGAUAAGAGAAGAGCAAGUCACACAAGACAUUGACUGAGUCAGUUUCAAGGUGACAUGAGCAUUGAAUUGUUACAACUGAUUUGGUGUAAGGUUCCUUUCUGAUUUGAAUUUGUUAGUUGGCUGUGCGUUUGAA